This 256-nucleotide long non-coding RNA is filed under the name Elaeis guineensis (African oil palm). Its description in RNAcentral is "long non-coding RNA (EGUI_LNC014642)". Lineage: Eukaryota; Viridiplantae; Streptophyta; Magnoliopsida; Arecales; Arecaceae. The record is from RNAcentral.
CCUUUCUUUUCUCUUGGGUGUUCUACACGCCCAUCCCUUGGGAUGCGAGUCCCAAGGAGUUCUAUGCCCAAGGUGUUGGACAUCCCAUAAUUUGCUGGUUGCUGGUGUUUUGUAGUAGCACAAAGCAAGAAGAAACUUUAUAGAAGAGGAGAAAAAGAAGAUCAAGUAGAAAGAUCAAGUAUUGAUCGUGAUCCAGGCUUCGUUCAGAUUCAGCAGACUAAAUUUUAGAGAACUAAAAUUUAGAUUAAAGAGAACU